RNA transcript from Triplophysa rosa, 1925 nucleotides. It is a transcript of the gene named origin recognition complex, subunit 2, with no coding region annotated. NCBI's taxonomy places the organism in Eukaryota, Metazoa, Chordata, Actinopteri, Cypriniformes, Nemacheilidae. The transcript has 16 exons. The record is from RefSeq and is a predicted model, not a curated record.
CGUCGCUUAAAAUGUUUCCUGUGGCGCGGGAUGGAGAAGAGCACAUGAAGUUUUCAAAAUGAAGCAAAAUGAAUCUUUGUGAUGAAGAUCAAUGUUAUUAAACACAUCUGUGAUGCGAAUAUUAAAGUUUGCAAUCUGAGUUUGAUUUAUAAGCUGCGACAUGACGCAAAAACAGAGUUUAGAGGUUCGGUUCGUGGCUGAUGAAGAUGUUUUGGAUCAUAUCGUGGAGAAACAACAAGAUGUUAAAGCAGCUCAUGGGGGUGUACAAACCCUGGUCACCCUGAAGACUCCUCAGAAAUCAAAGACAUCUGCUGAGGAGGAUGACGAGGAGAAGGAUGAAGAUGCCUUGAAUGAGCAGAACUAUGUGGAAGCUCUCUGCACCGACACACAAGAUGAGAGUGAAAGUGGAGCGUCAGCCGGCGGAUCUUCUGUCUUCACCUUUCAGACCAUCAAACGAGCCAAAAAGAUGUCUCGGAUAGCAUCUGAAUGGGCCCGGACGCCUGGGAAAAGCGUGACGUUCUGCUCAUCAGACACAAAUGAGGAUUCUGCAAGCCCGACCCGCGCCACAAAAACCAAUCAGAACAAGACUCCUCAGAAGGGAAAGAAAGUGCAGUUCAUCUCAACGACGCCACACAGACUGCGCAAACGCAUGUCAGCACCAACACUGAGAUCAGAGAGUGAAAGUGAUCUCUCACCGUCCAACUCUGAGGAAGAUGAAGAAGACGAGUCAAAGCAAGAUGUCCAGCCCAAAACACCCAGCAAAACCACAGCCAGCGCCCUCUAUAAAACACCCAGCAAGAAGAACAAGAAACUACCUGAGUCUGAUUUGGUGGGUGAAUAUUUUGAGGCUCACAGCAGCUCUAAAGUUCUGACGUCUGAUCGGACUCUGCAGAAACUCCAGACACCUAAACUGGAUCGGGAGACUCUGCUCAGUCUCUUGGCUGAAAAGCCUCAGUGUUACGCUGAAGAAAUAAAACGGCUGAACGAGAAACACGAGAAGAACUUCAACAAGUGGAUGCUGCAGCUACACAUGGGUUUUAAUAUCCUGAUCUUCGGUCUGGGGUCAAAGAAGCUUCUACUGGAGAAGUUCCGCACGUCUAUGCUGUCAGACUUGGAUCAUCUGGUGGUCAACGGCUUUUUUCCCAGCAUGACCCUCAAAUCGAUAUUAAACAGCAUCACUGGCGAUAUUCUGGAGCAUGAUGGGACGUUCCGUAACCCGAGCGACCAGAUCGACUUCAUUGUGAACACUCUUAAAGAAGACCCAGACAAUCACAUCUUUCUGAUCAUUAAUAACAUUGACGGGGCCAUGCUGAGAGGUGACAGAAACCAGCAGGCACUGGGACAGCUGGCGUCCAUUCCCAACAUGCACAUGGUGGCUUCCAUCGACCACAUCAACGCUCCGCUCAUCUGGGAUCAAGCAAAGAUGAGUUUGUUUAACUGGCUGUGGUACGAGACCACCACAUACAUGCCCUACACUGAAGAGACCUCGUAUGAGAACUCGCUGCUCGUCCAGCAGACGGGAGCGCUCGCGCUGAGCUCACUGACACACGUCCUGCGCAGCCUCACGCCAAACGCCAGGUAACACACACACACACACACACGUGUCCUGCGCAGCCUCACACCAUACGCCAGGUAACACACACACACGUCCUGCGCAGCCAAACGCCAGGUAACACACACACACACACGUGUCCUGCGCAGCCUCACACCAAACGCCAGGUAACACACACACACACACGUCCUGCGCAGCCAAACGCCAGGUAACACACACACACACACACGUCCUGCGCAGCCUCACGCCAAACGCCAGGGGGAUCUUUAGAUUACUGGCAGAGUUUCAGUUGGAGAACAAAGAUAAUCCUGCAUACACAGGUUUGUCUUUCCAGGAUUUUUACCAGCGCUGUCGUGAAUCUUUCCUGGUGAAC